RNAcentral lists this ribosomal RNA (253 nucleotides) under uncultured prokaryote. RNAcentral describes it as "partial 16S ribosomal RNA". It matches the Rfam family "Bacterial small subunit ribosomal RNA", at positions 525 to 777 of the family's 1533-position model. The record is from RNAcentral.
ACGGAGGAUGCAAGCGUUAUCCGGAAUGAUUGGGCGUAAAGAGUCCGUAGGUGGCGAUUCAAGUCUAUUGUCAAAGAGCGAGGCUUAACUUCGCUAAGGCCGUAGAAACUGAAAAGCUAGAGAGCAGUAGGGGCAGAAGGAAUUCCUGGUGUAGCGGUGAAAUGCGUAGAUAUCAGGAGGAACACCCGAGGCGAAGGCGGCUCUCUGGGUCGUACCUGACGCUGAGGCGCGAAAGCGUGGGGAGCGAACGGGA